CCAAAUUCCACCUUGUGUGUGGCCCUCACCAGACUCUGGGAACGGAGCCCUCCUCACCUACCGUGGAGCGAGAGACGCUCCAAGCAUGGUCGCUCCCAUUCCCUGUGGAGAUAAUGGGAAGAAACAGAAACCUGUAGGCUGUGAUUCACCUUACCUCUCAGACAUCUGGGAGAACUGAGAGCCAACAGUGCCUCACACUGUGGUGACCAUUUUGCCCUGUGGAUGUCCUUCUGCUCAGCUGAACUCCACACCUGCUUUUCUUGACAUGACUUGUACUAUGCACACAUCUUUUUCAAUUUCCAUGAAUAUUGACAGAGAUCUCCGCAGUGAAGUGAUGUGAAACUCUCUCAGUGAUUUUCAAGCUAUGCAACCCAUAAAUCACUCACCUUAACCUGGGCCCAGAUUUGCAUGAAACUGGGGGUCGAUUGUCUCAACAACUCAAUCCACCCAAAAGUCCAACCAAUCCUCUCUGGGUGUGAAGCACAGAGUGAAGUUAAAAAGCUCGGACAUGUUCCCUUUAGGAAGGCAAAAAAUGUGAAAUCGAUACCGGGUCUUUUGAAAGCAGGGAGCUGAUUGUGGCUGAUCUGCAGAGCUCUCUUAUAAUCUGCUUCCAAACGUGUGGGUGCCUCUUGGGUUUCCUCAGCUAUUUUAUGGCCUAUUUUCAAAGAUUUUUGUAAAGCCAGGCCAACAAUGUCUGCAUCCCCUACCACAUCAGUGAAAAGUUGGACUGUGUUUCAGAGCUGCGUAAAUUCUUCCUAUAAGAAACAUUUACAUUUUUACAAAGUGUAAAUUUAGGAGACCACGGGGUGAAUUCCUCCCUCAUCACAUUGCAGUCACCACGGGGAUGGGUUGACUAAUAGUUUACCACGAGUGAGCGGAAAAAAAGAGCAGCACGUGUACCUGAACAUUACAAAGGUUUCUUCCAGGAUUGCCCUGACUUGUUCAGAUAGUUGAUAAGAUAAUUAAUUCUUACCGUUCCUGUAUUUUCAUGAGAACUUACCUAUGAGUAAACAAAACCC
Molecule: long non-coding RNA, 1019 nt
Organism: Cinclus cinclus
Lineage: Eukaryota; Metazoa; Chordata; Aves; Passeriformes; Cinclidae
Exons: 3
Source: RefSeq, a predicted model, not a curated record